Molecule: ribosomal RNA, 253 nt
Filed under: uncultured bacterium
Lineage: Bacteria
Description: partial 16S ribosomal RNA
Rfam family: Bacterial small subunit ribosomal RNA
Source: RNAcentral
UACGUAGGGUGCGAGCGUUAAUCGGAAUUACUGGGCGUAAAGCGUGCGCAGGCGGUUUUGUAAGCCAGAUGUGAAAUCCCCGGGCUCAACCUGGGAAUGGCAUUUGGGACUGCAAGGCUCGAGUGCGGCAGAGGAGACUGGAAUUCCUGGUGUAGCAGUGAAAUGCGUAGAUAUCAGGAGGAAUACCGAUGGCGAAGGCAGGUCUCUGGGCUGACACUGACGCUCAUGCACGAAAACGUGGGGAGCAAACAGG